This 443-nucleotide ribosomal RNA is filed under the name uncultured bacterium. Its description in RNAcentral is "partial 16S ribosomal RNA". It matches the Rfam family "Bacterial small subunit ribosomal RNA", at positions 338 to 795 of the family's 1533-position model. The record is from RNAcentral.
CCUACGGGAGGCAGCAGUGGGGGAUAUUGGACAAUGGGGGAAACCCUGAUCCAGCGACGCCGCGUGAGUGAAGAAGUAUUUCGGUAUGUAAAGCUCUAUCAGCAGGGAAGAAAGAAAUGACGGUACCUGAGUAAGAAGCCCCGGCUAACUACGUGCCAGCAGCCGCGGUAAUACGUAGGGGGCAAGCGUUAUCCGGAUUUACUGGGUGUAAAGGGAGCGUAGACGGCGAUGCAAGUCUGAAGUGAAAGGCGGGGGCCCAACCCCCGGACUGCUUUGGAAACUGUAUGGCUGGAGUGCAGGAGAGGUAAGUGGAAUUCCUAGUGUAGCGGUGAAAUGCGUAGAUAUUAGGAGGAACACCAGUGGCGAAGGCGGCUUACUGGACUGUAACUGACGUUGAGGCUCGAAAGCGUGGGGAGCAAACAGGAUUAGAUACCCUAGUAGUC